Molecule: ribosomal RNA, 1843 nt
Filed under: Salmonella enterica
Lineage: Bacteria; Pseudomonadati; Pseudomonadota; Gammaproteobacteria; Enterobacterales; Enterobacteriaceae
Description: partial 23S ribosomal RNA
Rfam family: Bacterial large subunit ribosomal RNA
Source: RNAcentral
AGACCCGAAACCCGGUGAUCUAGCCAUGGGCAGGUUGAAGGUUGGGUAACACUAACUGGAGGACCGAACCGACUAAUGUUGAAAAAUUAGCGGAUGACCUGUGGCUGGGGGUGAAAGGCCAAUCAAACCGGGAGAUAGCUGGUUCUCCCCGAAAGCUAUUUAGGUAGCGCCUCGUGAAUUCAUCUCCGGGGGUAGAGCACUGUUUCGGCUAGGGGGCCAUCCCGGCUUACCAACCCGAUGCAAACUGCGAAUACCGGAGAAUGUUAUCACGGGAGACACACGGCGGGUGCUAACGUCCGUCGUGAAGAGGGAAACAACCCAGACCGCCAGCUAAGGUCCCAAAGUCAUGGUUAAGUGGGAAACGAUGUGGGAAGGCCCAGACAGCCAGGAUGUUGGCUUAGAAGCAGCCAUCAUUUAAAGAAAGCGUAAUAGCUCACUGGUCGAGUCGGCCUGCGCGGAAGAUGUAACGGGGCUAAACCAUGCACCGAAGCUGCGGCAGCGACGCUUAUGCGUUGUUGGGUAGGGGAGCGUUCUGUAAGCCUGUGAAGGUGUGUCGUGAGGCAUGCUGGAGGUAUCAGAAGUGCGAAUGCUGACAUAAGUAACGAUAAAGCGGGUGAAAAGCCCGCUCGCCGGAAGACCAAGGGUUCCUGUCCAACGUUAAUCGGGGCAGGGUGAGUCGACCCCUAAGGCGAGGCCGAAAGGCGUAGUCGAUGGGAAACGGGUUAAUAUUCCCGUACUUGGUGUUACUGCGAAGGGGGGACGGAGAAGGCUAUGUUGGCCGGGCGACGGUUGUCCCGGUUUAAGCGUGUAGGUGUGUGUUCCAGGUAAAUCCGGUUCACUUUAACACUGAGGCGUGAUGACGAGGCACUACGGUGCUGAAGUAACAAAUGCCCUGCUUCCAGGAAAAGCCUCUAAGCAUCAGGUAACAUCAAAUCGUACCCCAAACCGACACAGGUGGUCAGGUAGAGAAUACCAAGGCGCUUGAGAGAACUCGGGUGAAGGAACUAGGCAAAAUGGUGCCGUAACUUCGGGAGAAGGCACGCUGACACGUAGGUGAAGUGAUUUACUCACGGAGCUGAAGUCAGUCGAAGAUACCAGCUGGCUGCAACUGUUUAUUAAAAACACAGCACUGUGCAAACACGAAAGUGGACGUAUACGGUGUGACGCCUGCCCGGUGCCGGAAGGUUAAUUGAUGGGGUCAGCGCAAGCGAAGCUCCUGAUCGAAGCCCCGGUAAACGGCGGCCGUAACUAUAACGGUCCUAAGGUAGCGAAAUUCCUUGUCGGGUAAGUUCCGACCUGCACGAAUGGCGUAAUGAUGGCCAGGCUGUCUCCACCCGAGACUCAGUGAAAUUGAACUCGCUGUGAAGAUGCAGUGUACCCGCGGCAAGACGGAAAGACCCCGUGAACCUUUACUAUAGCUUGACACUGAACAUUGAGCCUUGAUGUGUAGGAUAGGUGGGAGGCUUUGAAGUGUGGACGCCAGUCUGCAUGGAGCCGACCUUGAAAUACCACCCUUUAAUGUUUGAUGUUCUAACGUGGACCCGUUACCCGGGUUGCGGACAGUGUCUGGUGGGUAGUUUGACUGGGGCGGUCUCCUCCUAAAGAGUAACGGAGGAGCACGAAGGUUGGCUAAUCCUGGUCGGACAUCAGGAGGUUAGUGCAAUGGCAUAAGCCAGCUUGACUGCGAGCGUGACGGCGCGAGCAGGUGCGAAAGCAGGUCAUAGUGAUCCGGUGGUUCUGAAUGGAAGGGCCAUCGCUCAACGGAUAAAAGGUACUCCGGGGAUAACAGGCUGAUACCGCCCAAGAGUUCAUAUCGACGGCGGUGUUUGGCACCUCGAUGUCG